UACGUAGGGAGCAAGCGUUGUCCGGAAUCAUUGGGCGUAAAGCGCGCGCAGGCGGCCCGCGAGGUGUCACGUGAAACGCCCCGGGCUCAACCCGGGAGGGUCGUGGCAAACCGGCGGGCUUGAGGCCGGUAGAGGUGGGUGGAACUCCUGGAUGGAGUGGUGAAAUGCGUAGAGAUCAGGAAGAACACCCGUGGCGAAGGCGGCCACUGGCAGUGGCUGACGCUGAGGCGCGACAGCG
RNAcentral lists this ribosomal RNA (238 nucleotides) under uncultured bacterium. Its description in RNAcentral is "partial 16S ribosomal RNA". It matches the Rfam family "Bacterial small subunit ribosomal RNA", at positions 524 to 761 of the family's 1533-position model. The record is from RNAcentral.